CCAGCGGUUAGGCCGGGAACUCAAAGGAGACUGCCAGUGAUAAACUGGAGGAAGGUGGGGAUGACGUCAAGUCAUCAUGGCCCUUACGACCAGGGCUACACACGUGCUACAAUGGCGCAUACAAAGAGAAGCGACCUCGCGAGAGCAAGCGGACCUCAUAAAGUGCGUCGUAGUCCGGAUUGGAGUCUGCAACUCGACUCCAUGAAGUCGGAAUCGCUAGUAAUCGUGGAUCAGAAUGCCACGGUGAAUACGUUCCCGGGCCUUGUACACACCGCCCGUCACACCAUGGGAGUGGGUUGCAAAAGAAGUAGGUAGCUUAACCUUCGGGAGGGCGCUUACCACUUUGUGAUUCAUGACUGGGGUGAAGUCGUAACAAGGUAACCGUAGGGGAACCUGC
RNAcentral lists this ribosomal RNA (397 nucleotides) under Salmonella enterica subsp. enterica serovar Senftenberg. RNAcentral's name for it is "bacterial SSU rRNA". It matches the Rfam family "Bacterial small subunit ribosomal RNA", at positions 1118 to 1515 of the family's 1533-position model. RNAcentral also lists the same sequence under 3 other names. Lineage: Bacteria; Pseudomonadati; Pseudomonadota; Gammaproteobacteria; Enterobacterales; Enterobacteriaceae. The record is from RNAcentral.